GCCAGGGCAAAAGCAAAUCAGGCAACUAUGACAUCAAACUUGGAAAGUGAGGAAGAGGAUCUGCUACGCAGGCAAAUAAGAACUCCUGCACGAUAUAGAAGGCAAUUGGACAGUGAGAUGAUGAUGAAAACCUUCCAGUAAAAAAGAAACUGCUGACUUCUAGCACGCCCACCUUUACACCAAGAACUGAACUUUUUAGUGACAGAGCUGGACAGAGACUUCCAUUGGGUCUGUCCACAGAUGUCCCACAGUCAGAGGCUACUGUGUACUCAGGGGCUAACUUGCUCAUGAAAAUUCUGAACUGAAGAGGGUGGAGCGGGCCAUAUUUGUUCGUUUGGACAACAUUGAACAGAAGCUUUUAAAUCUCGAAAGCA
This is a long non-coding RNA of Trichomycterus rosablanca, 374 nucleotides long. RefSeq lists it as uncharacterized. NCBI's taxonomy places the organism in Eukaryota, Metazoa, Chordata, Actinopteri, Siluriformes, Trichomycteridae. The record is from RefSeq and is a predicted model, not a curated record. The transcript has 5 exons.